RNAcentral lists this non-coding RNA (25 nucleotides) under Rattus norvegicus (Norway rat). Lineage: Eukaryota; Metazoa; Chordata; Mammalia; Rodentia; Muridae. The record is from RNAcentral.
UGAUUGGGAGCAGGAGAUUCUGUUG